Molecule: long non-coding RNA, 2786 nt
Filed under: Vitis vinifera (wine grape)
Lineage: Eukaryota; Viridiplantae; Streptophyta; Magnoliopsida; Vitales; Vitaceae
Description: long non-coding RNA (VVIN_LNC007887)
Source: RNAcentral
UUAUUUUGAUUAUUUAUUUCAAAACUCCAUUUUAAAUCAAAUUCUCUAAAACUUCUAAUUUCCGAAUUAAAUUCCUAAUCCCAAAAAUUCUCAUGUUCCCACUAAAUUAUUUGAUCAUUAGUAUUUUAUUUAUUUAUUUAUUUCAAAACUCCGUUUUAAAUCAAAUUCUUUAAAAUCGCUGAUUUCCAAAUUAAAUUCCUAAUCCCGAAAAUUCUCAUAUUCUCAUUAAUUUAUUUAAUCAUUAGUAUUUUAUCUCCACAUUGAUGAGAACGUUAUAUAAAAAGGAUCCAUGUAUAUUGCAUAUAUUAACUAGUAAAGAAAACUUAAAAAAUAAUUCAAAUAAUUUUCAUUUCCCUACUUUACCUUUUUACCCCUUUUUACCCCCUAAGGGUAAGAAAAAUACAUAAUAAAAUGAAAGCAAAAAAUUUAACAGAAAAUGCUUACUUUCUUAUUGAUUGCUGAUGAAUUUACAAGGCUGAAGAUGGAGUUUCUUUUUACAGACAACUUUGCACACUAUUGCACACACUUUCUCUCGGGCACACUUCUUUUCUUUUACUACCACUAAUUUAUAGGCAAAGCAUUUACAAGUGACAGGUGAGAAUACAGGUGAGAAUUAAUUUCAAGUGGUUGGAUGGUAGGAAAAAUAUUUACGGUGUUCAGAGGUUUGGUAUAAAAUAAAUACAAAGACUUUUGACUUUUGAGACAUGUGACUUUUAUUCAUCCGUUCUUCUCUUCCUUCUUGUCUCUUUCUCUUGUCCUUUUCUUCUCUUUUUAUUACAUGCAUAAUACGUGGCUUGUGGAUGUCUUUACUGCUUCUGGAGUUGUACUGCCAUAUUUAAUUUGUGUAGUUGAAGACGCAUUUACUGCUUCAAUAUCGUCAUUGCUGACAUCAUCCUUCCAUUGCAUUUUGUAGAUUAUGAUAACUUUCAUCGUCCAGGUUGUCCCAAAAUAAUGCGUCAUCGCUGAGGUAGGAAGAUGGUUCCGGUAUAUCUACACUGAGUUCGGUUAUAAAAUCCUGUUCUUCAGAAGUAAUAAAAGGGUUUGGAACAAUGAUGUGUUCUAAAGGUUUUACUCUCCAUAUAGACAUGGUUUUUGUUUCGCCAAUAAUUUAUUCCGGGUUGGUCUAAGAUCAUAGAUUUGAAAAGCUCUAAAGCGAGUAAAAAAUUCUGGAAAUUCGUUUGAACGGGUCAUUUCCCAUUCUGGUUCUUGUUGAGGGAUGAGUGGUUCUUUAUUAUGUUUUAUAUAUACAUGAUGAUAGGCUGGUACUACUGAUCCAUCGGGUUGAAAUAAAGGUGGAAUGGUUUCAAAAGAAAUAUCUAUAUAUUUUUCGGUUUUAAAAAGAUAGGUUAAAAUAUCUUUCAAUUUUUCUGGGAAAUUUUCAGGAAUUUGAGAUAUAUGGUUCAUAAAAACAUUUUUUAAAAUUCCCUGAUCCAUAAGUUGCGGUACUAAAUCAAAAUUUUCUUUAUUUACAACAGACAUAUUUACAUAAGCUAGAUAUAUAACAAAGAAAAAUUCAGGGUCGUGAUAUGCCAUAUACCCUGUUUUUAUCCCGACAUUUUUAGUUCUAAAAUGUUUAUACAAAAGUUCUUGAUUUUUAAACACUUUGUUAUAUUGGUUUUGUAGAAAAAAGGUUUUGACGAAAGAGUAGUUAUCAACUCCAAUUAUAUUUUUAACAACAAGCCUUUCAUAUUGUUCAGUCAGAAGAGCUGAUUUCUUAAUUAAACUAAUUACUUCAGGAUGACUGUUUGAACAGCUGGUUUGAUUGGUUGACACUGUACUGGUUUUCAAAUCUUCUAUCAGUUUUUCUUGAUUUUCUUGGAUUUUGAGGUUUUGGAAUUUUUGGGUUUCUNNNNNNNNNNNNNNNNNNNNNNNNNNNNNNNNNNNNNNNNNNNNNNNNNNNNNNNNNNNNNNNNNNNNNNNNNNNNNNNNNNNNNNNNNNNNNNNNNNNNUAUGAUAACUUUCAUCGUCCAGGUUGUCCCAAAAUAAUGCGUCAUCGCUGAGGUAGGAAGAUGGUUCCGGUGUAUCUACACUGAGUUCGGUUAUAAAAUCCUGUUCUUCAGAAGUAAUAAAAGGGUUUGGAACAAUAAUGUGUUCUAAAGGUUUUACUCUCCAUAUAGACAUGGUUUUUGUUUCGCCAAUGAGAUGAAAUAAUUUAUUCCGGGUUGGUCUAAGAUCAUAGAUUUGAAAAGCUCUAAAGCGAGUAAAAAAUUCUGGAAAUUCGUUUGAACGGGUCAUUUCCCAUUCUGGUUCUUGUUGAGGGAUGAGUGGUUCUUUAUUAUGUUUUAUAUAUACAUGAUGAUAGGCUGGUACUACUGAUCCAUCGGGUUGAAAUAAAGGUGGAAUGGUUUCAAAAGAAAUAUCUAUAUAUUUUUCGGUUUUAAAAAGAUAGGUUAAAAUAUCUUUCAAUUUUUCUGGGAAAUUUUCAGGGAUUUGAGAUAUAUGGUUCAUAAAAACAUUUUUUAAAAUUCCCUGAUCCAUAAGUUGCGGUACUAAAUGAAAAUUUUCUUUAUUUACAACAGACAUAUUUACAUAAGCUAAAUAUAUAACAAAGAAAAAUUCAGGGUCGUGAUAUGCCAUAUACCCUGUUUUUAUACCGGUAUUUUUAGUUCUAAAAUGUUUAUACAAAAGUUCUUGAUUUUUAAACACUUUGUUAUAUUGGUUUUGUAGAAAAAAGGUUUUGACGAAAGAGUAGUUAUCAACUCCAAUUAUAUUUUUAACAACAAGCCUUUCAUAUUGUUCAGUCAGAAGAGCUGAUUUCUUAAUUAAACUAAUUACUUCAGGAUGAC